GGCGGUAUUUUAGUCUAUUCAGAGGAACCUGUUCUGUAAUCGAUAAUCCACGAUGGACCUUACUUAAGUUUGUAAUCAGUUUAUAUACCGUCGUUAUUAGAAUAUUUUACAAGAAUGUUAAUUUUCUAAAUUUUUUUUAAGAAAGUAUAUCAGAUCAAGGUGUAGCUAAUAUUUAAGUAGAAAUGGGUUACAAUAAAUUUAUUUAUACGGAUAUAAAUUUGAAAUAUUUAUUGAAGGUGGAUUUGAUAGUAAAAUUAUAAAGAUAAAUAAUUUGAUUUUAGCUCUAAAAUAUGCACACAUCGCCCGUCACUCUUAUUAAUAAGGUAAGAUAAGUCGUAACAUAGUAGAUGUACUGGAAAGUGUACCUAGAAUGCAAUUUAAAGCUUAUUUAGUAAAGCAUUUCAUUUACAUUGAAAAGAUUUUUGUGCAAAUCAAUAUAAAUUGAUUAGAUUUUAUUUAUUAAUUUUUUAUUUUUUAGUAUUGAAUUAUUAAAAAUAUUUAUAAGAUGGUUUGUUUUAGUAUUUAAAAAGAAAAAAUAAUUUUAAUUAUAGUUUAAUAGUAUUGUGAAAGAAAAUUGAAAUAAUUUGAAAAAUU
Molecule: ribosomal RNA, 594 nt
Filed under: Wohlfahrtia nuba
Lineage: Eukaryota; Metazoa; Arthropoda; Insecta; Diptera; Sarcophagidae
Description: partial 12S ribosomal RNA
Rfam family: tRNA (bases 374-445)
Source: RNAcentral